Molecule: ribosomal RNA, 301 nt
Filed under: uncultured bacterium
Lineage: Bacteria
Description: partial 16S ribosomal RNA
Rfam family: Bacterial small subunit ribosomal RNA
Source: RNAcentral
CAGUCGCCGCGGUAAUACGGAGGGAGCUAGCGUUGUUCGGAAUUACUGGGCGUAAAGCGCACGUAGGCGGUUAUUCAAGUCAGAGGUGAAAGCCCGGGGCUCAACCCCGGAACUGCUUUUGAAACUAGAUGACUGGAAUCUUGGAGAGGUCAGUGGAAUUCCGAGUGUAGAGGUGAAAUUCGUAGAUAUUCGGAAGAACACCAGUGGCGAAGGCGACUGACUGGACAAGUAUUGACGCUGAGGUGCGAAAGCGUGGGGAGCAAACAGGAUUAGAUACCCCCGUAGUCCCUGUCUCUUAUAA